Molecule: long non-coding RNA, 422 nt
Organism: Sorex fumeus (smoky shrew)
Lineage: Eukaryota; Metazoa; Chordata; Mammalia; Eulipotyphla; Soricidae
Exons: 4
Source: RefSeq, a predicted model, not a curated record
GAUUUCUACAGAGGCAGACAAAGGCUUGACUCCGUUUAUCACAGCUGUUCUUCCGCCUCUUCCUGCAAACUCAUUCCAACUUGAAUCUGAUUUCAGACAGUUGAAAAGUUCUCCAGAUAUGUUGUAUCAGUAUUUGAAGCAAAUUGAACCAUCCUUAUAUCCUAAGUUGUUCCAGAAAAAUCUAGAUCCAGAUGUAUUCAACCAGAUCAUUAAAAUUCUGCAUGACUUUUACAUUGAGAAAGAAAAACCAUCACUCAUUUUUGAAAUUUUGCAAAGGCUCUCUGAAUUAUGACGAUUUGAUAUGGCCGUGAUGUUUAUGUCAGAACCUGAGAAAAAAAUUGCACGUGUAUUGUUCAAUCACAUAGAUAAAUCAGGAUUGAAGAAUACGUCUCUUGAAGAACUUAAGAAAAGAUAUGGUGGUU